ACGCUCGACACCUACGGGGGCAGCAGUCGGGAAUAUUGCGCAAUGGAGGAAACUCUGACGCAGUGACGCCGCGUAUAGGAAGAAGGUUUUCGGAUUGUAAACUAUUGUCGUUAGGGAAGAAAAAAGACAGUACCUAAGGAGGAAGCUCCGGCUAACUACGUGCCAGCAGCCGCGGUAAUCUGAGCGGGCUGGCAAGGC
This 198-nucleotide ribosomal RNA is filed under the name uncultured bacterium. RNAcentral's name for it is "partial 16S ribosomal RNA". It matches the Rfam family "Bacterial small subunit ribosomal RNA", at positions 328 to 539 of the family's 1533-position model. The record is from RNAcentral.